This 90-nucleotide transfer RNA is filed under the name Cognatilysobacter xinjiangensis. RNAcentral's name for it is "Lysobacter xinjiangensis tRNA-Ala". Lineage: Bacteria; Pseudomonadati; Pseudomonadota; Gammaproteobacteria; Lysobacterales; Lysobacteraceae. The record is from RNAcentral.
CGCGCGCGUGCGACGUGCGCGACGCGGGCUGGCGCCGCGCGUGUCGAGCCAGUGCUCGAAGGCGCUCCAUUCGGCCUGGUGGCGCGCGAC